UCCCUGCCGUUUGGAGUGCUCUGCCUCUGCCUCAUGCAAAAAGCAGGUCAUCCUCAAAACUCCAAAAGUAAAAUACCCAUUCGAAAAAUUGAAAUUCCAAAAUCUUUCUAACUUCAAAGAAAUUUCAUCAAAUGGUGAAAGCAUGAAUAUCCAAAUCUUGCUAGGAUUUAAGACGCAUCAUCGUCGUUGAGGCUAGGAUUUUCGGUGGGUACUGGGUUUGAGGGCUUUUCUGAUAGUCGAUCAUCCCGCUCUACAUCCGGUCGUUUGUGUAAGAUUUUCUAGGAGUAUGAGAAUAAGUUUGGUGGGUAUGAAUAUGAAAGUUUUGAUCACUACGAGUAGUGGGUAGGCCAUAAAUGAUGGGUUCGAGGGUUUAAAUUUCUCAUAUCCGCCUACCCCACUCCAUAUCCGUCUAAGAUUUGUCCGGACGGCUUAAAUUAACGCUUAGAAUUAGAAACGCAGUGAAUCGAUUUGUUAAAAAUGGAGAACGAACAUUUAAACCCUAAGUUUUGAAAAACUAAAUAAAAAUACGAAAUUUCAUCAAUGAAGUCUAAGAUAUGAAAAUUUGUACCCUGAAAAUGGAAAAUCUGUAACUUCGCAAGAAUGAAAGCUAGAAAUAAAAACGGGUCGGGUCGGAUUGGGCUGGGUUUUAAAGCCCAGUCCAUUUUCAACCCAUUUUCAUUUUACAAGGCCCAAUGCAACCCAGGUCCAUCUUUGUUUGAACCCGAUCCGGCCCUUAUCAAGCCCUUUGAACACCUCUUAUUUGGACCUUGGCGUCAUUGUAUAUGUAUUCCAUGAGUUAGUGAGUUCAUUCUUUCAAACUAGUCGAGUCGUUUUUAGAUUGGGUUGAAUGCCCAACUUGUGUUGAUUGAAGUAGAAGAUCCUCACUUUUGGAAAUAUGACUUUAAUUUUGUGUUGGAUUUUUGUAUUGUAAGCUGGCACAAGCUCUUCGAAAUUUCCUCAUCGCGACUUGUCUACUAGCUUGAGAUUCAUUUUGAAAGAUUAAAUGCCCCUCUACAGAAAGAUGCACAAAAUGGUGUAUCUUUAACCUUCGCAAUAUUCGUGUUAUUGUUGGCUAAAGAAUCCACUCUAUCUCAUUUACGUGUAUGAUUGCGUGUUAUAGACACCAAGCUAUAUUUGAUUGUUGUGCUUCAUCUUGAACUGAUAAUGUCGUGUGCGGAGUCUACUAAUUAUCUGAUCCAAUAUUGAAUAUGAUUUAAAGUCGAGUUGUUUCUUGGGUCACUUUAGGGAUAGUUGCUGCUUUGAUGCCAUAUGUUGGUGGAGAAAGUGGUUAACUUUGAUACAGAAGAUCCUCAUCCCAGAAAUAGCUUAAUUUUGUGUGAGAACUUGGAUGCUUUUCUUCUAAAAUAUCAUAGACCCCCUAAAAAUUUCAAGUAUUGUUUGGACAGAGGCCGCGCGUACGCAGGCCCCCACUAUCACAAAUUAUGACGUAGACUCUCCCAUUUGGGGAGAUCUUAGGCUGCUGCUCCUCCUUAAAGUGCAAUGGAAGUCAACAACCUAGGCCAUAAGCCUAUUUGAUCACUUAUAGACCCCAUCCAGAGGGAGAUGCACAAAAAAAGGUUCAUCCUCGUUUAUGUACAUGAUCAUGGGUUGUAGAUAGACUCCAAGCAACAACUGAGCGUUGUUCUUCAUCUUGAACUGAUGUUGUGCGACGUUUCUUCUCAGUACUGUAAACAGCUCCAACAGUUUAAAAGCUGAACAAUACCAAUUGUUGGAUGCUUCAGAGGCUGAAUAUUUUUUAAAAAGGCAAGAGUUUUGGAUACUGGAAGAUGUGAAGCUGAACGAGAAACCAGAAGGCGUGUGACAUUGAGACCUUCUGAGGAGAUCAGGAGAAUAUUGAGAGAGCAGAUGAGUAUACUUUAUGCUGAUACUGUACGUGUAAAAGUGAUACCACCAUACCAGAAGAAAGGAACCGAUUUCUGCAAUGUAAAACAGAAACAUUAGAGGCCGCGCGAACGCAGGCCCCCACUACCACAAAUUAUGACGUAGACUCUCCCAUUUGAGGAGAUCUUAGGCUGCUGCCCCUCCUUAAAGUGCAAUGGAAGUCAACAACCUAGGCCAUAAGCCUAUUUGAUCACUUAUAGACCCCGUCCAGAGAGGAGAUGCACAAAAAAGGUUGAUCCUCGUUUAUGUACAUGAUCAUGGGUUGUAGAUAGACUCCAAGCAACAUUUGAGCGUUGGGCUUCAUCUUGAACUGAUGUUGUGCGACAUUUCUUCUCAGUACUGUAAACAGCUCCAACAGUUUAAAAGCUGAACAAUACCAAUUCUUGGAUGCUUCAGAUGCUGAAUAUUUUUUAAAAAGGCAAGAGUUUUGGAUACUGGAGCGGUGAGUAUUUCUGCUAAUUUUGUUCCUGAUCUUGAAAUAUUGAUAUUGGAUAACAUCUUGCCACAUAGGGCCAAUUUAAACUGUAAACAGCUCCAACAAGGAAAUUUCUUGGAUGCCUCAAAAUCUGAAUAGCUUCAGAGAAGUAUUUUGUGCAGUCCUGUUUGUGUUUGAAGUGGGGUUAGCUCUUCCAUCUCUAAUAUAGCCUUAAGCAGUAACGGAGUUCCAGAAGUUCUUUUUACAUUGUAUUAUUUCUCGUUUUUCGGGAUUACGUACGCUCCUCCGUCCUAGACUUCGUGAAAGGAUGAUUAUUAAUGAGGCAUGACGUUUUGGAUUUAGGCGAGAUGCAAUAGUUUAUCUUUUGAGGUAAAGGAGGUGUUAUGAAUAUAGCAUUGCCGGUCCAAUCAAUGAGGUGAUUCCCGUUUCUGACCUAGUCACUCAGAAGCUUCCUUGAUUGUGUAUGAAGUACCUGUUCAUGUUACAAAGCCCAAUUUAUCAAUCUUUAUCCUCAUAUGCGACAUAGCGCCUUUUUGUUCUCAUUUCUCAACCUUCUUUGUUUCAAGGCUUCCAACUUCUUCUGAUGUUUUGAUCCUGCCUUAUGUUCUCAUCCUGAACGAACAUGAAGUGUGGAGUCUACUUGCUAUUAGGAUUUAAUGUGUUUUCUUAUCCCAAACCAUAUGUGAAACAGUGAUCUGAGUGCAAGCAAACAAAUAAAAAGAGAUUUAUGAAUGCUUUGAUACUCAUACCUUUCUCGGCCUUUUGGCUAAGAUCAAGUGUAGUAUCUGUUCUUAUCAGUUUAAUAUCUGAUACGUGGGUCAUUGACCCACAAUGAUAUUAAAUUUAUUUUUUAAGGGGGAAGGUCCACCACAGUAGCUUGCUAUUGGGGCCUUCAGGUGUCGCCCAUGUGUUGCACUACUGCAAGGGCCUGGCACGCCCCUCCGAACUAUUCUAAAUAUUUAAUUUUAACAUCAGAUUGGAAUCUUUAACAUCACUAUUAUUGCUUUAUAUUGGGGCCUCUAGGUGUUGCAUAUGUCCUUGCACUGUGCAAGGGCGCCCCAUACAAAUCAUUCAUUAAAUUACCUGGUUCAUGACUGACACAUAUCUGUUGAAUCAUUUAGUGAGAUAUAUUUAAAAAUUGGUAUGCUUAUUGGCCUAAGCUGUAAUGUAGCUUCAUAAUAAGGUGCUUGUCAUGUGCAAUGAUAAACAGAUCUUUAAAAUUGGUAUGCUUAUUGAACUGCACAUAAUCUCUUGUCAUGUAGCUUCAUAAUAAGCUGUA
Long non-coding RNA from Amaranthus tricolor (Joseph's coat), 3617 nucleotides. RefSeq lists it as uncharacterized. Lineage: Eukaryota; Viridiplantae; Streptophyta; Magnoliopsida; Caryophyllales; Amaranthaceae. The transcript has 6 exons. The record is from RefSeq and is a predicted model, not a curated record.